CCUUGAGCUUCCAAUCCCUUCAGCUCAAGUCUCACUCCACCAGCACCACCAUAAAGCUCGCAACUCUAAGUCUUCUGGUGGUCCUUAUCGCUGGGCAUUACCUUGGCACAGGGCAUUGACGACAAGGCUGAAGAUUGUGAUGCCGAAGGCGGUUGUGUAGAGAGAGCUGAAGAUGUCGAGGACCCCUCAACCUGGUCGAGAGAAGGGGUAAGGCAAGGG
This is a long non-coding RNA of Penaeus monodon (black tiger shrimp), 219 nucleotides long. RefSeq lists it as uncharacterized. Lineage: Eukaryota; Metazoa; Arthropoda; Malacostraca; Decapoda; Penaeidae. The record is from RefSeq and is a predicted model, not a curated record. The transcript has 3 exons.